Molecule: ribosomal RNA, 466 nt
Filed under: uncultured bacterium
Lineage: Bacteria
Description: bacterial SSU rRNA
Rfam family: Bacterial small subunit ribosomal RNA
Source: RNAcentral
UAGGGGAUAUUGGUCAAUGGGUGAGAGCCUGAACCAGCCAUGCCGCGUGCAGGAAGAAGGCCUUCUGGGUUGUAAACUGCUUUUGCCGGGGGAUAAAAUGGCUUUGCGAAGCUAAUUGAAGGUACCCGGUGAAUAAGCCACGGCUAACUACGUGCCAGCAGCCGCGGUAAUACGUAGGUGGCAAGCGUUGUCCGGAUUUAUUGGGUUUAAAGGGUGCGUAGGCGGUUCUAUAAGUCAGUGGUGAAAUACUCCGGCUCAACCGGAGAGGUGCCAUUGAUACUGCAGAACUUGAGUACAGACGAGGUAGGCGGAAUUGACGGUGUAGCGGUGAAAUGCUUAGAUAUCGUCAAGAACACCGAUAGCGAAGGCAGCUUACUAGACUGUAACUGACGCUGAGGCACGAAAGUGUGGGGAUCAAACAGGAUUAGAUACCCAUGUAGUCCCUGAGCGGGCUGGCAAGGCGCAU